UGGGAAAAGAGACAAAAGAACCAUGCUGUUGAAGCUGUGAAGAAGAGACUGCUGUUGCUUGAGUUGAUUAUAGCUGGACUCAGACAGCACAUUUACUCCUCUGAAUAGUGGCUAUUGACCUCAUACCAACACUACAGUGGAACCGCAGGACAUCCUCUUUUGACACCUAAUACUGACUCCAAAUGAAGGUGAACUAGAAGUCUGGAUGGGAGAAUCUGGAAGAGAUAAAUUUCCUCCUUUUCAAUGACGAUGUAGUAAAAUUAAGCUUUUUGAAAAUAAGUUAACUCUUUGUGACAAUGUCUGAAUCCAUACUUGCUCUGUCUUUUACACCAGAAAAGGAUUACUAAACUACACUUGUCAAUAUGUGCAAGAAUCAGGGAAACAUUAUAUUCAUUAAUGUUUUCAUAGUCUCUGUAUAAGACACAUCACCACAGAUUUGAGUCCUUUCGGAAACUGUUCAAGUAUCCACAGUAAAAUAUUCUUAACAUAAGUAUUAUUGGGAUGAAAAGUGCUACCUGAAUUGAAGGAGCACAUCUUCAGAAUGCAAAGGUAGAUAUAAAUAAGACAAUAUGAAGAUAUUUAAAUACUGGCAAAUUGUGUCGUAGUUCUUAUUUUUCAUGUUCUCAUUUUUAGAUUCUCACUUAAAUUGUCUUUCAAUUAUUGUUAUUCCUCAUCUCAGUGGAGAGAAUCCUAUUCACAAAUACAACUUAAAUUAUUAUUGCUUACCAGAUUUUUAGACAGGUAUUUAUGCAUGUAUAAACAUAUAUGUGAGUCAAUUUCCCCACAGAGUUAAGACGUCCUCCAUACACAUGUUCAGAUCUUCACUACAGUUCGUCAGAACUCCAAUUAAAAUUCUGUUUAUUUAUUUAUAUUUCAUUUUUAUUUUUAUUUUAUGUUAUCUUCAAAGCAUCUGACAAUGACUGAACUCAUAAAGUUUUAAAACCACUACUUAAUAUCAUUUCUGGACUUUAUUUUACCACCCUCAGCCUCCAACCAUCUGUCUCAUUCCAUCUGUUGUCUUCUACUUAGUUUGAAAAUUCUUUGGACGAGGAGUGUCUUCUUGGCUUGCAUUUGUGCACAGGGAUCCUGGCUUCUAAUAGAGCUUCUAAAUAUUAUGGUAAUAUACAUAAUAGUAAGCAAUAACAUCAGUUGCCAGUCAAGAAUUACAUAUGGUCAAACACAGAACAAUCAAAGAAUCAUAAUGACUAUGUUAUAGAAUCAUAGAAUCCUUAGAGUUGGAAGGGACUCUUACAGGCCAUCUAGUCCAACUCCUCAGCAAUUGUCAACGGUUUACGGGCA
This is a long non-coding RNA of Numida meleagris (helmeted guineafowl), 1299 nucleotides long. RefSeq lists it as uncharacterized. The transcript is spliced from 3 exons. NCBI's taxonomy places the organism in Eukaryota, Metazoa, Chordata, Aves, Galliformes, Numididae. The record is from RefSeq and is a predicted model, not a curated record.